GUGGCAUUAGCUCAGUCGGUAGAGUGCCUGGUUGUGGCCCAGGAGGUCAUGGGUUCAAGUCCCAUAUGCCACCCCA
RNAcentral lists this transfer RNA (76 nucleotides) under Candidatus Dormiibacterota bacterium. RNAcentral describes it as "tRNA-His". It matches the Rfam family "tRNA". From Rfam's summary of the family: Transfer RNA (tRNA) molecules are approximately 80 nucleotides in length. Their secondary structure includes four short double-helical elements and three loops (D, anti-codon, and T loops). RNAcentral also lists the same sequence under 2 other names. Lineage: Bacteria; Bacillati; Candidatus Dormiibacterota. The record is from RNAcentral.